This is a long non-coding RNA of Culicoides brevitarsis, 326 nucleotides long. RefSeq lists it as uncharacterized. Lineage: Eukaryota; Metazoa; Arthropoda; Insecta; Diptera; Ceratopogonidae. The record is from RefSeq and is a predicted model, not a curated record. The transcript is spliced from 2 exons.
CGAAUUCGCGAUGUUGACAGGAAGGAAGAAAGGGAAAAAGGUUGAAAGUGCGUCUAAUCAAUAUUACAUGUGUCGAUGGAAACCGACGAGGGGAGAAAAGACACCUAAAAGUAUGAUGGAUUAUGAAUAUUUUUGGAGGAUAUUUUCGUGCGUUUGUGAUAAUAGAAGUUUGUUUGUUUUAAACAGACAUUCUCAUAAUCCGGCGGUUUAAGCGCUAUUUUCAUAUUCAUGGCCUAGUUUUGUUUUUGAAAAGUUGCUGUUUUGUGAGAAAAUGAACCGUAAUUUAUCAUAAAUUUUAAAUUUUGUUAUAAGAAAAUUUUUUUUCA